RNAcentral lists this long non-coding RNA (1018 nucleotides) under Sorghum bicolor (sorghum). RNAcentral's name for it is "long non-coding RNA (SBIC_LNC016364)". Lineage: Eukaryota; Viridiplantae; Streptophyta; Magnoliopsida; Poales; Poaceae. The record is from RNAcentral.
AUGGGGUCUAACUCUUGGAGUCUCUAACUCCGAACUUCGUCAAAGAGGGCAACGACAAGGGGUUCGAGGAGCUGGUAGAGGAGUUCACCCCCUACGCGGAUGGCGUGGCCCAGAUUUCAUCAGCCGAAGACAUCAUUGCUCGUGUCUUCGGUGAUGAAGAUUAGAUUUUUAGUUUUUAAUUUUUUUAUUUUGUUGAUGUAGUCACCCCCUCUGAACAAUUCCACUAGCCAUCGAGGUAGUUUAUCUUAAUUUGAUUUUGUCGAUCAAAUGUCUAAAAUUUCUGUGACAUUCUCCAUCGAGGCAAUCUAACAUGUUCCCUGCAUCGACAUGAACACUUCUUGUUUGUUUGAUUUCUGCUCUAAAGGGGAUACAUAUCAUAUUGGUUAUUUUCAGUUAUCAAUAACUCUGAAUUUUUUGUACUAAAGGCAAUACCUUCUGUAUCGGCUAUUAGGGGUUAUAUUGCAACACUUAAUCAACUAAAGCAAAUCAACCUAGACACUUGGGUAAUACUUUUGAAAUACUUUCCAUUAAUAGCUCUAGAAUAUACUUAUCCUUCCAAUAUUUCAUAGAAGUAGGCAUUUCCAGGAGCAACCCUAGUAAUCUGAUAUGGCCCUUCUCAGUUAAUUGACCAUUUGCCAAAUUUGUUGUCUUUAGAUCCAAUCGGUAAAUCACUUUCCAAACAAAUUCCCCUUCGCUGAAUCUCUUUCCUCGUACCCUCUGAUUAUAAAAUUCAGCAAUCUUAAUCUUAUGAGCUUUAAUAUUCUCUAGAGCCUUUAGCUGAUGAUAAUUUAAAUCAUCCAAAUUAUCUAACAUAAUUUUUUUUUUAAUCAUCGGCUGUCAACUCAUCUUGAUAUGACAUCCUUCGAGAUCCUAUAUUAAUCUCCCAAGGCAAUAUAGCUUUAUGCCCAUAGACUAAUUCAUUAGGUGAACAUUUAGUCGAUCCACAAUAAGCCAUUCUAUAAGACCAGAGAGUUUCACUAAACACCGAAUGCCAUUGAGUGUGCCAAAAAUGUGUUGG